Rhinolophus ferrumequinum (greater horseshoe bat) is the source of this 496-nucleotide long non-coding RNA. RefSeq lists it as uncharacterized. The transcript is spliced from 4 exons. Lineage: Eukaryota; Metazoa; Chordata; Mammalia; Chiroptera; Rhinolophidae. The record is from RefSeq and is a predicted model, not a curated record.
UUGAGGGAGAAGCAGAGGAAGAAGGAAGAGGCAGAUAGAACUGGAAUCAGUGAUGAUGUCAGCUGAGCGUCUGAUGCAACCCUUACUGAAACCAACCCUACGUCUACUCUAUCUUUUAUUUAGGGCAUUGAGUCAGAAGAACCUUCUACAAUAAGAAUUAAGUGACUCCUAGAAGAUUCAUGGAUCAACUACAGAGGAUCUAGUCCUUGAGGGUGACAGGACCAUCAGCUUGUAAGAGAGCACAAUUGCGAACUACUGACUGGUUAAAUAUUAGAAGAAGGGACCAACAGAUAUGGAGAAGGAAACAGUUUCUGAUAGUUCCUCCUGACACUCUAUGUGACAUGAGUGGCUGUUGGAUUUACUUCAUUCAACAAAGAAACAGGAGACUAAAAGAUCAGAUCUCUUUGCUGCUGUCAGAAUAGUCAGAUGGAGAGUUGAGCAGACCUAAUACUGCAUGCCUUAUACUUGAUGACUUCCUGAAGCUGGAAAUUGGCUG